GACGAACGCUGGCGGCGUGCUUAACACAUGCAAGUCGAACGGAAAGGCCCUGCUUGCAGGGUACUCGAGUGGCGAACGGGUGAGUAACACGUGGGUGAUCUGCCCUGCACUUCGGGAUAAGCCUGGGAAACUGGGUCUAAUACCGGAUAGGAGCCAUUUUUAGUGUGAUGGUUGGAAAGUUUUUUCGGUGUAGGAUGAGCUCGCGGCCUAUCAGCUUGUUGGUGGGGUAAUGGCCUACCAAGGCGGCGACGGGUAGCCGGCCUGGGAGGGUGGACGGUCACAUUGGGACUGAGAUACGGCCCAGACUCCUACGGGGGGCAGUAGUGGGGAAUAUUGAACAAUGGGGGAAAGACGGAUGCAGCGACGCCGCGGGGGGGAGGACGUCCUUCGGGUUGUAAAAUCGUUUCGCUAGGGACGAAGCUUUUUGUGACGGUACCUAGAUAAGAAGCACCGGCUAACUACGUG
Molecule: ribosomal RNA, 465 nt
Filed under: uncultured bacterium
Lineage: Bacteria
Description: partial 16S ribosomal RNA
Rfam family: Bacterial small subunit ribosomal RNA
Source: RNAcentral